UACGUAGGGUGCGAGCGUUGUCCGGAAUUAUUGGGCGUAAAGAGCUCGUAGGCGGUUUGUUGCGUCGGCCGUGAAAACCUGCAGCUUAACUGUGGGCCUGCGGCCGAUACGGGCAGACUUGAGUUCGGUAGGGGAGACUGGAAUUCCUGGUGUAGCGGUGAAAUGCGCAGAUAUCAGGAGGGACACCGGUGGCGAAGGCGGGUCUCUGGGCCGAUACUGACGCUGAGGAGCGAAAGCGUGGGGAGCGAACAGG
RNAcentral lists this ribosomal RNA (253 nucleotides) under uncultured bacterium. RNAcentral's name for it is "partial 16S ribosomal RNA". It matches the Rfam family "Bacterial small subunit ribosomal RNA", at positions 524 to 776 of the family's 1533-position model. The record is from RNAcentral.